RNAcentral lists this transfer RNA (74 nucleotides) under Gammaproteobacteria bacterium. Its description in RNAcentral is "tRNA-Gly". It matches the Rfam family "tRNA". From Rfam's summary of the family: Transfer RNA (tRNA) molecules are approximately 80 nucleotides in length. Their secondary structure includes four short double-helical elements and three loops (D, anti-codon, and T loops). Lineage: Bacteria; Pseudomonadati; Pseudomonadota; Gammaproteobacteria. The record is from RNAcentral.
GCGGGUGUAGUUCAAUGGUAGAACUUUAGCUUCCCAAGCUGAUAGCGUGGGUUCGAUUCCCAUCACCCGCUCCA